AAACUAACAAGGAUUCCCCCAGUAACGGCGAGUGAAGCGGAAGAGCUCAAGCUUAAAAUCUCCAUGUUUACAUGGCGAAUUGUAGUCUAUUGAGGCUGUUGUCAGCAUAGCGAUCUGGGAAAAGUCCCUUGGAAAAGGGCAGCAUAGAGGGUGAUACUCCCGUCUUUGCUCAGAUUGUCUGUGUGUACGAUACGCUUUCUUUGAGUCGAGUUGUUUGGGAAUACAGCUCAAAGUAGGUGGUAAAUUCCAUCUAAAGCUAAAUAUUGGUGCGAGACCGAUAGCGAACAAGUACCGUGAGGGAAAGAUGAAAAGAACUUUGAAAAGAGAGUUAAAGAGUACCUGAAACUGUUGAAAGGGAACCGUAUCGUUUCCAGUGUUUUAUCCUAUGCAUAUUUCAUCGGCGGAGUAAUUUGCUGGUGCCCUGUGCAUGGGUGUGACGUCAGAGUCAGUUUGUAUGCUGCGGGAGAUGGUUAGUAAGAAGGUGCGUCACUUCGGUGAAAGUUAUAUCUUGCUAUCUAGUUGCCGUGGUUGAGACUGAGGUGCCUACAACAUGCCCUGGGGUUCAGUGGCGUCUCGUUUUGGUGACUGCUUGGAUAGCUUGCUAUGUCUGUGGUUAAUCAGGGCGAUCGAUGCUAUUGAAAACCUCUGCUGUUCGGGAC
RNAcentral lists this ribosomal RNA (659 nucleotides) under Newbya oligocantha. RNAcentral describes it as "LSU rRNA". It matches the Rfam family "Eukaryotic large subunit ribosomal RNA", at positions 62 to 639 of the family's 3401-position model. The record is from RNAcentral. Lineage: Eukaryota; Oomycota; Saprolegniomycetes; Saprolegniales; Saprolegniaceae.